UAUAAAUAAAAUUUGAGGGGUGAUUGCUUAAAUAUUUUUAAAAAAUUUGCGACUACCUAAUUUAUCCCUCUUAGGAGAUUAAUAUUAAAAAUACUAUUUUUAUAUUUCAACCUAUUUCAAAUAUACCUCUAAAAUUAAAAUCUGUUAAUAAAUUUUGUUAUCUGUAUAAAAUUAGUAUUUUGUUCUUUUAAAUAUACUCCUCCGUUAUUACCUACUUUUCUUAUUUGCCUUUAAGUUAGGGACAAAAAAAUUAUUUUAACUUUUGAUCUUCUCAAAUAUACUCCUCUACCAUCACCAACAUUUCUUAUUUAUACAAACCGUCCCUAGAGCAAAUAGUAAAGGGCUUAGUGGUUGGUACCCGAGACCCAAGUUCGAAUUCUAGUUGAUUCAUAUUUCCAGCUAAGUUUAUUUCUAAAUGAAAUAAACGAAGCAGGUAGCAUGCUAUCUAUCUCUCAAAAAAAAAAAAAACAUUUCUUAUUUAUUCUUAAGUUAAGGACAAAAUUGGUAUUUAAUUUUUUUAGCUGUGAUAGAUAUUUAACUUACGUUUAAUCCAAAUUAACUUAACGGAUAGUAACUGUAGGGGUAUUUUAGAAUAAUAGAGGAACAUACGAGGGGUAUAUUAGAAAGGAAAAAAAAAAUAGAGAUAAAUAAGAUAUUUUUGAAGUUUUGAGAGAUAUAUUGGCAAUUAUCCUAAAAUUUAACAUCUUAGAAAUAUUAUUCUAUAUUAGGAUUAUUCAUUUCAUAUGGAAACCCCAACCAAGUAUCAACAUGAAGUAUAUUCUCCCUAUUUAUAUAAACCAUCAUAAAUACUCAUACAAACAAUAAUUUAUUUAAAAAAUAAAUAUAUAUUUUUAAGACAUAUAAUUUAUUAUAAAAAAAAAUUGACUGUUCCUAGCGUAAGUGGCAAAAAGCUUAGUGGUUGAUACUCGAUGUCCCAAGUUCGAAUUUUAGUUGAUUCACAUUUUCAACUAAAUUUAUUUUAUAAAAUAAAAUAAACGAAGCGAGUAGUAUACUAUCUAUCUUUAAAAAAAAUUAUUAUAAAAAAGUUAAAUAAAUAAGCAAUAAACAAAAGGGACCUGAGAGGGGACUUGAAUCUUACACCCCACGUGUCAAAAUCUAAUCCAAACCCCAGAUGUUAGGUUCGGGAUGAAUUUUUAAAAUCCGCAUGCAUCCAAAAUCUAAUCUGUUCAAAAUUUUGAAAUUUAAACCUGAACCUGAAAAUUUUAAUCCAAACAUUUAUUGCUCUUUGCCAUAUUUCAAAUAUAGUAUAUUAAAAUUUAAUUUUUAAAAUAUAAAUUCAAUUAUAACAUCUAAUAUUUAUAUAUGUACAGAGAGAGAGAGAGUCCGACUGCUAUAUUUUUAUGAGUACAAUCACAUUCGUCUUCAUAAAUUAUUUUCAAUGAUAUAAUUUCUGAAUCAACAAUCCAUACCGUUAAACAUUAUUUAAUGAGUGAAAAUGAUUAAAGGAAUAGAUUUAAUGGCAAAAAAACUUACAAAUACGAAAUGCUUAAUGCUUUUAAAAACACCAUAGUGGGACUUUUUAUAAAUAUAUAU
RNAcentral lists this long non-coding RNA (1554 nucleotides) under Ananas comosus (pineapple). Its description in RNAcentral is "long non-coding RNA (ACOM_LNC012615)". Lineage: Eukaryota; Viridiplantae; Streptophyta; Magnoliopsida; Poales; Bromeliaceae. The record is from RNAcentral.